Piliocolobus tephrosceles (Ugandan red Colobus) is the source of this 2552-nucleotide long non-coding RNA. RefSeq lists it as uncharacterized. The record is from RefSeq and is a predicted model, not a curated record. Lineage: Eukaryota; Metazoa; Chordata; Mammalia; Primates; Cercopithecidae. The transcript is spliced from 8 exons.
AGUUUCAAGUGAUUCUCCUGCGUCAGCCUCCUGAGUAGCUGGGAUUACAGACAUACAAUGAUGAGGAAUCUUUGAACACCUGGUCAAAUCCUCAGAAAAAGAAAUCAAUCCUGCUAAGCGACUGGACAAGUUAAAAUGUCUAAAGCACCACACCAGCUUCCAAAAAGCAGUUGGAUGAUAAUCCACAAAGUCUGUUAUUGUUACUGCAUGAUCACCUUCAUUUUCCAAGAAGCUUUCAAGUCCCUUCCAUACUAAGACUAGUAUAUGAAACAGUGAUUAAAUCUGGAUUUGGAGAGUGUUAUUCUAAUCUGAAAGAAUCUGAAGCUCCUUGUAAAGUAGCUGGCUCUCUGUCUGCAGGAAUGACCUUCUGUUCUCCAGUGCCUCCCUUAUCCAAGAUGCCCUGAGUAUAACACUUCUGGCCAUUGUAACUAUUGGACUUUUUGACAUAAGUUGUUGAUUUAUCAGUCAGCAGAGAUUUGCGUACUUUGGGUGCAUGAAUUUUCCUGUGGUUUAGAUUUGUUAUUUUUAGAUAAAUAUCUUCUUGAACCAAGGUAACAGAUGUAUGAAGACAAGAGGCUGAUGCUGAGAUGCAAGAUUGCCCUGUCUAACUUGAAAAGAAGAUGGAAAAUAUGUAUUUUCUGUAGACUGGCUUGACUUCAAAAAGGAUCUUUCAGGUCAUUUAAAAUGUCUUCUUUCAAAAUUUAGGUGGGAAGUCAAAUGAUCAUCAGAAGACAGCUUGGAGAGGCUGGAAUCAGAGUGAGAAGAGGCAGCCGGUGGCCCGAUUGGAAAGUUAAAUGAAGCUGAUGCUUUACUCUCCACCAAAGGGAUAGGAUUUUCCAGACAGGUCACUCACUCCCACACAGACCUGGACGUACAUGACUCCCUCUUCCUCCUGGACACUGUUUUGUCCUGUGCUGGGCACACCUCUUGUGCUAGACAUGUUCUUUGUUCUGCAGUGUCAAUUCCAUGGAUUACGUGACAGCCCAGUUCUUGAUCUUCUUUGACCUUGCCUCCACCCUGCCUACCAAGUGAAGCCAGGAAAUGGACAACUGUCGCAGAGUGACCCUAACUGAAGGUCUGCAGUGGCUAUCAUGCUCUGCUGAAGUUAGGAAGUGUCAUGUGAUCGUGUGUGAUCUGUGUGUAAACCAAACAACCUCCCCACCGCCAACCCAGGCUUCGCCUGCUGAUCUUUGGGGCAGGUCCAAUGGUGCAGAGGCUAAUGAAUUGAUAAUGAUGGGUGAUCAAUACGUUUAUCUCAGAAUAGGGGCUGCUGCUUCUCUGUAAACCAUUUGCUACCUUAAUGGAACCCUGAGUAAGCUGCGGUUGGGAGCUGAACUGAUGAGCGCACUGCUGGAGUCCUAGAAUUACAGGCUCAUUGUCUGCAUUGGCACUGAGACAUGAUACCUGAAAUGCUCAGGAUGUUAGCUGACACCUUUGUGAAAAGGAAAAGGUAUCCUAAAGUGGCAUGGUGAGUGCACCUGUCCUCCUACAGAAACAAAUUCUCAAGCAAUAAACAACAGUACAGAGUUUAUUUCCUAGGCAGCUGUCUGCCAGAGAAACAAGAAGAUUACGCCUGGCAUAAUGUGUAACUUUUCUAGCUACUCGUUUAACGGAACAAAUUGUCCUAAGGUGGUUUUUGUGGAGCUAUGAAGCGACUGAAUGCUGAAAAACACCUGUUCUUUUUGGAAGAUGAGCCAAUUAAAUGUUGGAUUGUCAGUCAUAGACUAGGAAAUGAUGAGAUCUAAAUAUACAGUUGCUUAGGCAGCAUUAGACAUCUGCUGUGAGCUAGCAAUGCCAACAUUAGCGGUGGGCAUGAAGAAAGCGUCUCAAUACUUCGAGCAAACUCGAGAAGAUCUUGGUGCCACCUGACCUCACAAGAAUCGUUGGGGAGAGACAUUUCAGAGACAGUAUCUUCCCAACCUACCUGCCUACAAAAGAAAUCUGUGCCCGCAGGCUGCUCACACGUGCACAAGUCAAUGUCAUCACAGGCCGUUUCCUUCUUUAAUGUGAAGAGCUUCCAAAGACAAGAAAGCGCAGCGUCUGCUCUUGGUGACUGUUUUAUGUUGCACCAUAAGCAAGAAAGUAAAUAAAUGGAGGAUAACCACCCCUCCCAAUCUGAAAGCAUAGCAGGAAGAGCACAAGGCAGACAAACCUAAGAAGCUAUGUCACCCAAUGCUAUUUGAGAAAGUGAUGAAGGUGAAAAAAGAACUGGAUGCUUCAGUAGAGUGCUGGACUAGUUUCUAGCUGGAAGUCACGUAUGGAAGCUGAGUCACCUCCGCUUCUCCUGCAGCCUGAGCUGGCUGUCACCGAGGCCUUGCUCAUUAUGCAGACUCAUUCCCAUGCAUACCAAAAGCAACACUUGAUGGUCGUGGAAGAUUUCCAUCCUCACAGGUCAUGAAAUGCGUCUGCACUGGAAUACUUGUUGUUUAUCACCUACACUAAGGAUUUACAACUGCCUAAGUGUUGUAUUUCUAGUGACUGUAUUCUGAAUGAAAAACUCCUGCCCUGAAGCAAGGACAAUUUCUUUAUUCACAUGGAGAAUGAUAGCAGGU